RNAcentral lists this ribosomal RNA (789 nucleotides) under Bacillus subtilis. RNAcentral's name for it is "bacterial SSU rRNA". It matches the Rfam family "Bacterial small subunit ribosomal RNA", at positions 65 to 836 of the family's 1533-position model. Lineage: Bacteria; Bacillati; Bacillota; Bacilli; Caryophanales; Bacillaceae. The record is from RNAcentral.
AGCGGACAGAUGGGAGCUUGCUCCCUGAUGUUAGCGGCGGACGGGUGAGUAACACGUGGGUAACCUGCCUGUAAGACUGGGAUAACUCCGGGAAACCGGGGCUAAUACCGGAUGGUUGUUUGAACCGCAUGGUUCAAACAUAAAAGGUGGCUUCGGCUACCACUUACAGAUGGACCCGCGGCGCAUUAGCUAGUUGGUGAGGUAACGGCUCACCAAGGCAACGAUGCGUAGCCGACCUGAGAGGGUGAUCGGCCACACUGGGACUGAGACACGGCCCAGACUCCUACGGGAGGCAGCAGUAGGGAAUCUUCCGCAAUGGACGAAAGUCUGACGGAGCAACGCCGCGUGAGUGAUGAAGGUUUUCGGAUCGUAAAGCUCUGUUGUUAGGGAAGAACAAGUACCGUUCGAAUAGGGCGGUACCUUGACGGUACCUAACCAGAAAGCCACGGCUAACUACGUGCCAGCAGCCGCGGUAAUACGUAGGUGGCAAGCGUUGUCCGGAAUUAUUGGGCGUAAAGGGCUCGCAGGCGGUUUCUUAAGUCUGAUGUGAAAGCCCCCGGCUCAACCGGGGAGGGUCAUUGGAAACUGGGGAACUUGAGUGCAGAAGAGGAGAGUGGAAUUCCACGUGUAGCGGUGAAAUGCGUAGAGAUGUGGAGGAACACCAGUGGCGAAGGCGACUCUCUGGUCUGUAACUGACGCUGAGGAGCGAAAGCGUGGGGAGCGAACAGGAUUAGAUACCCUGGUAGUCCACGCCGUAAACGAUGAGUGCUAAGUGUUAAGGGGGUUUCC